GUGCUCACUGCAGCAGCACAUACAGUAAAACUGGACCCGUACAGGGAAGAUUAGCGUGGCCUCUGCACCAGGAUGGCCCACAAACUCAUGACGUCCAUGUUUUU
This is a small nuclear RNA of Ailuropoda melanoleuca (giant panda), 104 nucleotides long. The record is from Ensembl. NCBI's taxonomy places the organism in Eukaryota, Metazoa, Chordata, Mammalia, Carnivora, Ursidae.